This 83-nucleotide transfer RNA is filed under the name Anaerolineales bacterium. RNAcentral's name for it is "tRNA-Leu". It matches the Rfam family "tRNA". Rfam says of the family: Transfer RNA (tRNA) molecules are approximately 80 nucleotides in length. Their secondary structure includes four short double-helical elements and three loops (D, anti-codon, and T loops). Further hydrogen bonds mediate the characteristic L-shaped molecular structure. tRNAs have two regions of fundamental functional importance: the anti-codon, which is responsible for specific mRNA codon recognition, and the 3' end, to which the tRNAs corresponding amino acid is attached (by aminoacyl-tRNA synthetases). tRNAs cope with the degeneracy of the genetic code in two manners: having more than one tRNA (with a specific anti-codon) for a particular amino acid; and 'wobble' base-pairing, i.e. permitting non-standard base-pairing at the 3rd anti-codon position. The record is from RNAcentral. Lineage: Bacteria; Bacillati; Chloroflexota; Anaerolineae; Anaerolineales.
GCCGGGGUGGCGGAACGGAAUACGCUGCGGUCUCAAACACCGCUGCCCUUACGGGCUUGAGGGUUCAAAUCCCUCCCCCGGCA